This 196-nucleotide microRNA precursor is filed under the name Oryza brachyantha (malo sina). RNAcentral's name for it is "MIR812 microRNA precursor family". It matches the Rfam family "MIR812 microRNA precursor family". Lineage: Eukaryota; Viridiplantae; Streptophyta; Magnoliopsida; Poales; Poaceae. The record is from Rfam by way of RNAcentral.
UAUAACAUCGUCGUUGUCUUUUAGUUCACGUUUGACCUUUUGUCUUAUUUAAAAAAAUUAUAUAAUUACUAAUUAUUUUGUUAUAAUAUGAUUAUAGGAACUUUAAGUAUGCUUUAUAAUUUUACAUAUUUAGAUAUAAAAUUUGAAUAAGACGAACGGUCAAACGUAAAUUCAAAAGUCAACGGUGUCAUAUAAG